Molecule: ribosomal RNA, 292 nt
Filed under: uncultured bacterium
Lineage: Bacteria
Description: partial 16S ribosomal RNA
Rfam family: Bacterial small subunit ribosomal RNA
Source: RNAcentral
GCCUACGGGGGGCAGCAGUAGGGAAUCUUCCACAAUGGACGAAAGUCUGAUGGAGCAACGCCGCGUGAGUGAAGAAGGGUUUCGGCUCGUAAAGCUCUGUUGGUAGUGAAGAAAGAUAGAGGUAGUAACUGGCCUUUAUUUGACGGUAAUUACUUAGAAAGUCACGGCUAACUACGUGCCAGCAACCGCGGUAAUACGUAGGUGGCAAGCGUUGUCCGGAUUUAUUGGGUUUAAAGGGUGCGCAGGCGGUCUGUUAAGUCCGCGGUCAAAGCCCGGGGCUCAACCCCGGCCC